Molecule: ribosomal RNA, 893 nt
Filed under: uncultured Verrucomicrobiota bacterium
Lineage: Bacteria; Pseudomonadati; Verrucomicrobiota
Description: bacterial SSU rRNA
Rfam family: Bacterial small subunit ribosomal RNA
Source: RNAcentral
AGGACUGGAGAGGAGACUGGAAUUCACGGUGUAGCAGUGAAAUGCGUAGAUAUCGUGAGGAAGACCGGUGGCGAAGGCGAGUCUCUGGACAGUUCCUGACGCUGAGGCACGAAGGCCAGGGUAGCGAACGGGAUUAGAUACCCCGGUAGUCCUGGCAGUAAACGGUGCACGUUUGGUGUGGGAGGAUUCGACCCCUUCCGUGCCGGAGCUAACGCGUUAAACGUGCCGCCUGGGGAGUACGGUCGCAAGAUUAAAACUCAAAGAAAUUGACGGGGGCCCGCACAAGCGGUGGAGUAUGUGGCUUAAUUCGAUGCAACGCGAAGAACCUUACCUGGGUUUGACAUGCAUCUCUAAUCGGGUGAAAGCCCGUGACUGUAGCAAUACAGAAUUUGCACAGGUGCUGCAUGGCUGUCGUCAGCUCGUGUCGUGAGAUGUUGGGUUAAGUCCCGCAACGAGCGCAACCCUUGCGAACUGUUGCCAACCCCGACUUUGUCGGGGCGCACUCUGUUCGGACUGCCCUGUGAAACGGGGAGGAAGGUGGGGAUGACGUCAAGUCAGUAUGGCCCUUAUGCCCAGGGCUGCACACGUACUACAAUGCCCAGUACAAUGCGAACCGAAGCCGCGAGGUGGAGGAAAUCACCAAAACUGGGCCCAGUUCGGAUUGGAGUCUGCAACUCGACUCCAUGAAGGAGGAAUCGCUAGUAAUGGCGCAUCAGCUACGGCGCCGUGAAUACGUUCCCGGGCCUUGUACACACCGCCCGUCACAUCAUGGGAGUCACUUGUACCCGAAGCACGCGUGCUAACCGCAAGGAGGCAACGUUCGAAGGUAUGGGUGGUAACUGGGAUGAAGUCGUAACAAGGUAGCCGUAGGGGAACCUGCGGCUGGAUCACCU